CUUUGGGUUUUGGGGUGGAGUGGAACUGAGCCUGAUGUGGUUCUCUUUUUGGCAGCGACAUGGCAGACUUCAUCACACCUUGCGGAGCCUGCAGACAGGUGAUGAGAGAGUUUGGCACAGACUGGGACCUCUACCUGACCAAACCCGAUGGCACCUACAUUGUGAAGACUCUACAGGAGCUCCUGCCACUCUCCUUUGGCCCCGAGGACCUGCAGAAGGCUUGAAUUGCACACCUGCAUUUCCCUUUCGGCGCUGGGGGCAAUGGAUUAUUCCCCCAACUUUCCCUUUAUGCACGUGGCUCCACGGGGACAAUGCCAAAGGGUUUGCUGCAUGGAUGUUGCUUGGAUCCAAGGCUGCAAAACUGAGGACAAAAAGCAAUUUCAGCUCAAAGUCCCCAACAUUAUCCACCAGCCAUUUGUGCACGGGCAGCUCGGUGUUCAGUGGGCUGUCACUGUGGUGCCACUGCUCCUUUUUGCUUUUUUUCGCUUGCUUCUAUGGGGACAAAGAGGAAUUCUGGGGGUGUUCACUGAUUGUCCUGGCAAUUGAAUUAUGUGCAAUAAGAAAAAAAAAUAAAACAGUGUUACUUUAA
Meleagris gallopavo (turkey) is the source of this 589-nucleotide non-coding RNA. The record is from RefSeq and is a predicted model, not a curated record. NCBI's taxonomy places the organism in Eukaryota, Metazoa, Chordata, Aves, Galliformes, Phasianidae.